RNAcentral lists this long non-coding RNA (1137 nucleotides) under Trifolium pratense (red clover). RNAcentral's name for it is "long non-coding RNA (TPRA_LNC006733)". Lineage: Eukaryota; Viridiplantae; Streptophyta; Magnoliopsida; Fabales; Fabaceae. The record is from RNAcentral.
GCAUAAAUUUAACCGAAAGCUAUUUAAAAUAAACUUCACAGAGUUUUGGAGAGCUUUUUCGGUCUAUCUUUCUCUUGUCAGUUGUCUGGAUCUUCUUCACUUUCUUGGUACCAACAGCAGCUUCUCACCUCCUCCGAGUAAAAUGGCCUUUCCAUAGGCCAUGCCAUUUAUGUGCAGCAAAUACGAACCUCCCUGGUUACCACAUCUUAAAGAAAAAUUAUCAGAGCAAUUGAGAUUCACAUAACAUAUGAAUGCAAAAUGGUUUGUCAUUUUUAAAUCUCAAAAUAGCAACAUAUAUUAAUAACCACCAGCACAAUAGUCAAGUAACAAAGCCAGGGAGAUGCAUCAUAACCAGCACAAUACCAACACCAAGUUUCAUAUGACAGUAAAAUUAAAUCCACAAUCUUAACAUGAUGUUCUAACAGAACUGAUUCCAAUUUAGUGAUAUUAAAUCCAUGAAGUUCCAAUCCCAAGAGAAAUCAAGCCCACACUAUUCUACAACCAUUAUUAGUUAUUCAAAUGUAUCAAUUCAUUAUCAUGCCUAUUUGAAUCAAGUGACUGUCUAAAAAAAAUAAAAUAAAAAUUCACAUUCAAUACACUAAAUCUCAUUCCUUUUCUACUCAACAAAGAAAUUUCCAUAAUUGAACAUUAGAAACAGAAAAGGAAAGCAUGUAAACUCAGAAUUAAAGGAAGAUUGGGACAGAAAUUCCAUACCUCUUCUUGAUUCAAAAAUGAAUGUGGAAAAAUUGACCCUUUUCAAUUUUGAAACUUGAGUGCCAAAGAAAUUAAGUGAUUAAUUUGUGUGCUAUAGUGAUUUGAAUGAUGGAAAAGUGAAGAAUUUCUUUGAGUUGUGUGGGUUCAGAGGUUGAAAACGCAUAGAGAGAGAGAGAUUUGUGGGAUGAGAGGUUGGGAAUUUUAAUGAACAAAGCAUGAGAGUGUUUUAUCGUAACAAAAAAAAAAUGAUCUUGAACAUUUCGCUUAGCGAGAAAAGAUUCGCUCAGCGAAUUCCACAGAAAAACAGGCAGAAAUUGCAAAAUGUUUUCAUUUGGUAAAAUGGUUCAGUUUUGACUCAUUAGCAACCUUUCAAAACAUGCCUAAAUAUUCUAAAAUGAUAAAUUGCAGAAUUAAAUAGUAAGG